Molecule: non-coding RNA, 212 nt
Organism: Nematostella vectensis (starlet sea anemone)
Lineage: Eukaryota; Metazoa; Cnidaria; Anthozoa; Actiniaria; Edwardsiidae
Source: Rfam
UCAAAUUUAAAAUCUCCGUUGCUUGCAACGGCGAAUUGUAGUUUCGAGAAGCACUUUCUCGGCGGAUCCGAGGUCGUCCAAGUUGCUUGGAACAGCACGUCGUAGAGGGUGACAACCCCGUCUGCGGCGAUCUCGGCCGUUCACGAUGUGCUUUCGACGAGUCGGGUUGUUUGGGAUUGAAAACUCAGAAUCGAAGUCAAGAUUCACUCAGA